GAUGAACGCUAGCGGCAGGCUUAACACAUGCAAGUCGAGGGGUAACAGGGAAGAGCUUGCUUUUCCGCUGACGACCGGCGCACGGGUGCGUAACGCGUAUAGAACCUACCUUUUACAGGGGAAUAGCCCAGAGAAAUUUGGAUUAAUGCCCCAUAGUAUUAUUGAAUGGCAUCAUUUAAUAAUUAAACAUUUAUGGGUAAAAGAUGGCUAUGCGUUCUAUUAGCUAGAUGGUAAGGUAACGGCUUACCAUGGCAACGAUAGAUAGGGGUCCUGAGAGGGAGAUCCCCCACACUGGUACUGAGACACGGACCAGACUCCUACGGGAGGCAGCAGUGAGGAAUAUUGGACAAUGGAGGCAACUCUGAUCCAGCCAUGCCGCGUGCAGGAAGACGGUCCUAUGGAUUGUAAACUGCUUUUAUAUAGGAAGAAACCUUUCCACGUGUGGAAAGCUGACGGUACUAUAAGAAUAAGCACCGGCUAACUCCGUGCCAGCAGCCGCGGUAAUACGGAGGGUGCAAGCGUUAUCCGGAAUCAUUGGGUUUAAAGGGUCCGUAGGCGGACUAAUAAGUCAGGGGUGAAAUCCAACAGCUUAACUGUUGAACUGCCUUUGAUACUGUUAGUCUUGAGUUAUAUGGAAGUAGAUAGAAUAUGUAGUGUAGCGGUGAAAUGCUUAGAGAUUACAUAGAAUACCGAUUGCGAAGGCAGUCUACUACGUAUA
This 718-nucleotide ribosomal RNA is filed under the name Lutibacter sp. Its description in RNAcentral is "bacterial SSU rRNA". It matches the Rfam family "Bacterial small subunit ribosomal RNA", at positions 28 to 737 of the family's 1533-position model. The record is from RNAcentral. Lineage: Bacteria; Pseudomonadati; Bacteroidota; Flavobacteriia; Flavobacteriales; Flavobacteriaceae.